RNAcentral lists this long non-coding RNA (272 nucleotides) under Carica papaya (papaya). RNAcentral describes it as "long non-coding RNA (CPAP_LNC015682)". Lineage: Eukaryota; Viridiplantae; Streptophyta; Magnoliopsida; Brassicales; Caricaceae. The record is from RNAcentral.
UUCCCUAUUUAAACGUGAUCGUACGGUCAAGAUCAAAUCGCAAUGAACAGUCUAUAUUUAUUUCUUCUUUAAACGCGAUGGGACGGUAAAGAUCAAACAUGAUGAACGGUCCAGAUUUAAGGGAGACGAGUAUAAAUAUCUAACAUCACAUUGAACCCAAACCCUAGUCACUAGCCUUCUGUCGGAGAAGAAGAACCAUUCGUCGGAGAAGGGAGUCGACCGUUGCUCGUUGCCGCACCGAAGCCACCUCCGAUUGCCAAAAAAUGUAAAAA